GCUAAUGAUCGUGUCUAUUGGUUUUUAUUUAUUAACUUGUAAGUCAUUAAAUGUGACAUAAAAGAGACUCGUAACAAUGCAAUUUCUUAUGAAUGUACAAGUAAAGGGAGUGCCAAUUUUAUACCAGAAGAAUUGCAGUCUCUUCGACAUUAUGAGUUUAUUUCAUUUGAAUAUAAGGAAAAUGCAGUUGCUCUGGCAGAAAUGCAUCCAAAAUGAGUAUUAAAACUCUGCAAAGGAAAGGCUGCAGCCAUUUAAAAAGUAAGAAAAUGCUGCGUGUAUGGAAAGAAGACAUGAUGCGAGGCAGAACAGUGAUAGAUAAAUGGAACUACAUCGAAACGCAGACCUUUCAAAACUUCCAAGAAGCUAGAGAGUGUCUUGAGCAGAUACAAUUUUAUAAAAUAUGCAUAUUACAGAAUUAGAGAUUUAUCGAAUAUACAUUAGCAUUUGUUUUCAGGUCAC
Molecule: long non-coding RNA, 459 nt
Filed under: Androctonus crassicauda
Lineage: Eukaryota; Metazoa; Arthropoda; Arachnida; Scorpiones; Buthidae
Source: RNAcentral